Molecule: long non-coding RNA, 3442 nt
Organism: Cercocebus atys (sooty mangabey)
Lineage: Eukaryota; Metazoa; Chordata; Mammalia; Primates; Cercopithecidae
Exons: 2
Source: RefSeq, a predicted model, not a curated record
GUAACUUUUUAAAAAAAGAGCUCAUUUUUAUAUUCUAUGUUAUUUACUUAAGUGUUUUAUAAAAAUAAAAUCCAUUACACAAGUGUCUAUAUGCCUUGCCCAAUAUCUUUGCCAAUGAUAAAUAAUAUCUAGCAUAUUUUUACUGCUUCAUUGUUUCUAAAUGCUCUCAUAUGGCUUACGUCAUUUGAUCCUAGACAGGCUGGUUUUAUUAUCCCCAUUUAUAGGAGAAUAUACUGAGGCUUAGAUGGGUCAAUGACUUGUCAAGGGUGUGUGGCUAGUAAAUGCCAUACAAAUACAUGCGAGAAUAAUGGCUAUUUCAAUUGUUUUGAAAGACUAGUUUUUGCAAAGUUGUUGGAUAAGAACCAGCAUGGAAGGGAUUCCAUUUCUCUUCAAGAGAAAUUCCAUAUCUACUCCUGAAAUACUUGGUGACCUUAGGAUUUUGUCCAUCCCGACUGAACAAGGGAACAGAGGUGGAUAGUUGGAAAGAUUAUGAAUCACUCUCUUGGCAAAAUUCCCUGUUAGUCUGAAUGUUUCAUGACCCUCCCCUCCCAAGAGACUAUUAUUUAAAAUUUAAAUAGUAUUGUUCUUGGCACCCUAAUGGCCCUCUGAGUCAGCUGGACCUCAACAGGGUAAUAGCAGAGGAAGGUUACAGGCAGGGAAGCAGCUGAGAACAAGGGAAGUAGCCUCUUUCCUGCAGCAACACAACAGCACUUUGAUGGGCUCAGCUUGGGAGGACUAGGUCAAAAGAUGAACUAUGACCAGAAGGAAGAAAACAAACAGACACACUUUGGGAGGGUCUCAGAAUAGGCACUGUACAUGCAUUCCUGAUGCGUGUGAAUAAAUGGGCGGGGUGCCAGAACUGGACACGAGACAACAAAGGACAAGCUCAUCUGACAGGGCAAUUGUCUAGCAGAAGGCUGUUAACCUGUUCCAGCCCUAAUAUGAACCAAAUCCUCAUUCUCCUGGGCUUCAGUCUCAACUCUGCCACCUAAUCAGGUGAACCAGGAAGGAAGUCAUUUUUCCCUGAAGAACGUGGACCACUGUGGUGCACAGGAGAUCACAGCGAUCAGUCACCCUCUCUGUCUUGACACCAAGAAGCAGGAGUUCCAAAAUCCAGAGGCCAUUUUGGACUGAGUUUAUAACAACUGUUUACACUUCACUGCUUUGUUAGGGUCUACAAAGCAGUUUUAUUUGCUAUGAUAGUAGUUCUGAAACUUUGCUACUCAUUAGAACCACUGCCCUAUGUGGUAGCUGUGAAAGUAUCAUUCCCAUUUUGCAGAUAGGAAAGUUGAGGCUAAGAGAAUUCGAUGAUUUGCCUAAAAUCAUGGCCCUAGCAAGUUCCAGAAAUGAGACUUGAAUUUGGAGUUCUAUUUCACCUUGUUGGCUCAUUAAUUCAUUCAUAUUAAAUGAAAUAUUCAUUUAACAAGUAUGUUUUGAGUAGCAGGUAUGUACUAGGCAUUAGAUAUACAUUAAGAGACUAAAUAUAUGUAGCCCCUGACUUCACUGAGUUUCGGUCUAAUGAUCUUUCCAUUUGAACCAGUAUUCUUUAUACUCCUUCAUAUUUCAGAAUUAAUUUCAAAUUAUGUAGGCUGGGUUAGUGCCCAGCAGGCCCAAUGCUCAGCAGAAUAGCACAAGUGGUACAUUUACUAGAGUUCAGGUGUGCAGGUCCAAACUGCAGUGGGCCACAGAGAAGGGAGAUCAGGCCUUGAAGGUGGUGUUCCUGGCUUCAAAUAGUGUCUCUGCUCCAACUGGCCAUGUGAUCACGAGGAACUUUCUAAAGUUCUCUCUCUGUUCUCAGUGUCCUCAGUGAGGGACUGAAGAUUGUAAUAGCCAAGCUCCCUGAGUAUCAUGUGUCUGGCUACUGGCUGGCACAUCUGAGGCACUCACUAAACACAGCUGUGACCAGGUCAUUACUAGAUGCUGAGUACUGUGGAGAACAACCGAUUCAUGAACCUGGUGUUUCUGAGAGGCACAGCAGCCUAGGGAUGUCCUUAGAAUUUCUUGCCCUGUUUAUUCCUCCUCCUUUAAUCUCUAUCCUCAAUCCAUUCUAUUCAUUUUCCUUAAUAAUCACAGUUUGGGUACCACUUAUUUGGAAUUUAAGGAUAGGUGGUUGAUAAAUUUUAGCUGGUGAUAGUGACUUAAUGCAGAUCUAAAAUUAAUAGAGAAACUCACAGGUGACUGGAUUUCAAGUUAGAAGUUCAACUGCUGGGAAUGCUUUUUGAAGGGCAUUUCCAUUUUUUAUUGGACUUAUAUUAAAAGAAAGUGAAACGAAAAUAUGGAACCUUGGAACUUCAAACCUUUUGAGUUUUCCUUCUUUCCAGUGCUUAGCUGAUACAAUCAACAUUGAGUUGUUUUCUUUGUCCCUUUCUGAGAUAGAAUCUAAUUCUUGCACUUAACGAAUUUGAGAAUCUUUAACAAUAUGAACAUGAUUAGCUCUAGAAUCUAUAUGUUUAGGGGCUACAUGCACCUUGUCAAAUUGCUCUUUUCCAUUCUCAGUUUCCGGAAAGGUCAUUGGAAUUCCCAUAAGUGUGGCGCUGCUGUUCUAGAUUGACAUUGUCGACCCUGAAGGAAAUGAUGUUGACGUUCACAGAGACCUGCAGAGUGACCUCUCCUCCAAAUGCCUCAAAAUAAAUGAUGGCAUGCCUGAGACUACAUUUAGUGCCAUUUGGCUACCAGGUUCUUCUAAAACCUAUAUCUUGUGGUACAAAUCUUAGUGAGCUUCUAGCCACUUCUGGACCCUACACAUAUUUUUUCAAGGCCACAAUUUGAGAAGCUUUAGUCUCUGGAUAAUUGGAAUUAUGGAAUUUUUGAGUUGGAGGUUACCCAAGAAAUCAUCUAGUACAGGAUUCUGAAACGCCUGGUGAGUAAGGAUUAACUAUUCAAUCAUGAAUGGCACUUUACAUAUAUUAACUUAUUUUGUCCUCCCCCAAUUCUCGUAACAUACAUUCUGGUAUUAUUCCCAUUUUAUGGAUGAAGAAAUGGAGAAACAGAGAAUUAAGUAACCUGUCCAAGACUCAACGUCAGGUAGUAACGCUCCACUUAACCACAUCUUUAUACUGCAUCUUGAUCAAGGUAGAAAUACAGGCCUCAAGGUGAGAUGACUUAUUCCAGAUCACAGAGCUAGUAAGAGUUCACCUCUGUCUGAGUCUGCACCUUGCUUUCAGAAAGCUAUUGAGGAGGUACUUCAUUACUACUUACCCCAUAUACAUGGGGGUGUUGGUGGUGGUGUGAGGUAAGUAGUAGUGGAGCACCUCCUUCCUCUUCUCAACUUCCCAUACCCAGAAUCUCAGCACGCUGACCUUGAGAGUGCUAUGGCUUGGGGGUUGGGGCUGGGGGACAGAGUGAAACCUAAGCCACGGGUUUUGCUCCUAAAGAUUUUCUUGUGUAACCACUUCUUAAAGUCACAAAAUGUUCUUGCAGUGAUUUCAGAGCAUACUUCUUU